RNAcentral lists this long non-coding RNA (1191 nucleotides) under Homo sapiens (human). Its description in RNAcentral is "HSALNT0385332". Lineage: Eukaryota; Metazoa; Chordata; Mammalia; Primates; Hominidae. The record is from RNAcentral.
UAUAGUGUUGUAGUUUUUUUUUUUUUUUUUUUUUUUUGAGAUGGAGUCUUGCUCUGUCGCCCAGGCUGGAGUGCAGUGGCGCGAUCUCGGCUCACUGCAAGCUCCGCCUCCCGGGUUCACGCCAUUCUCCUGCCUCAGCCUCCCGAGUAGCUGGGACUACAGGCGCCCGCCACCAUGCCCGCCUAAUUUUUUGUAUUUUUAGUAGAGACAGGGCUUCACCGUGUUAGCCAGGAUGGUCUCGAUCUCCUGACCUCGUGAUCCGCCCGCCUCGGCCUCCCAAAGUGCUGGGAUUACAGGCGUGAGCCACCGUGCCCGGAUGUGUUGUAGUAAUGUUUAAUACCAUCUGAGUCUUGUCUCAAUCAGAAAACGUGCUCAAAUUACAGCUGAUAUGUGAGUAAUAAAACUGGGAAACGAAUCAGAUAAUCUCUUAAGACCGUUUUUCAGCCCUUUCCAACCGAGUAUUCAUAGAAACAGAAGAGGAACGUUCUAGAUGUAUAACAAAAAGCUGCCCAUCCCCACAGUGAAACCACUUUGAAGACAUCACUUUAAAAUUCAUGUGAAUUCGGCCGGGUGUGGAGGCUCACACCUGUAAUCCCAGCACUUUGGGAGGCUGAGGUGUGUGGAUCACUUAAAGUCAGGAGUUUGAGACCAGGCAACAUGGUGAAACCCCAUCUCUACUAAAACAGAAAAAUUAGCCAGGUGUGGUAGUGCACCCCUGUAAUUCCAGCUACUUGGGGGGCUGAGGCAUGAGAAUCACUUGAACCCGAGAGACGGAGCUUGCAGUGAGCCGCAGUCGCGCCACUGCACUCCAUACUGGGUGACAGAGUGAGACUCCGUCUCAGAAAAGAAAAAAAAAAAUGUGAAUUCAGUUGGGUGUAGUGGCUCAGGCCUCAGGCCUGUAAUCCCAGCACUUUGGGAGGUCAAGGUGGGAGGAUCACGAGGCCAGGAGUUCGAGACCAGACUAAACAACAUAGCAAGACCUCAUCUCUAAAAAAAUAAAUAAAUAAAAAACAAAAACUUGUGUGAAUUUGCAUUCUAUUUUAUAAUAUAACCAAAUGAUCUCGGCCUUCACACCAUCUUCUUGGAAACCUCUGCACCAUGAGAGCCUAGUGGAGGAAGCGAAUGCGCAGGCUGAAGCGCAAAAGAAGAAAGAUGAGGCAGAGGUCCAAGUAAACCACAAGCUUAUGCACC